UAUAAAAAGAAAGUAUUAUGGAUGGAUCGCUAUAUAUUACAAGAUGAUUAAACUAGAACAUAAACUGGUUAUCAAAGAUAAAUCUUAUAAUUAGAUAAAGUGAAUUGAAAUAUCUUAGUAGCUUUAGUAAAAGAAAUCAAACGAGAUUAUUAUUUGGUGUCUGCUAAAUAAUAAGAGCCUAUUAUGAGUAUUUAGUAUAAUAAAAAGUAAAAUAUUUAAAGUUAAUUAACAAAAGAUAUUCUUUUGUUAAGUAGAAAAUUCAAGUAUUAUAGUAAAAUAUAAGAUUAAGCAAUAUAAUAAAAUAUGGUAUAAUUUAGUGAAAACUAAAUUAUAUAUAGUUAUAGUUAUAUGUGUUAAGAUUUUUCUAUUUCAUAUAAAAAUAUUAUAAAUUUAUUAGAAAUAUAUGAUAUAUAAAGUAAAAUGGAAAAAAAUCUGUUUGAAUAAAGGGGAACCUUCCUCUAAGGCUAAAUAAAAUAUAUAAGCGAUAGUGUAAAGUACCGUGAGGGAAAAUCUGAAAUAGUAUUUUUAUAAGCAGCUCGAGUUAAAAUUAAUAAAAAUAAUAAGAGCGUACCUUUUGCAUAAUGGGUCAGCAAGUUAAUUUUAGAUGCAAGCAUAGAAAUUAAAAGAAGUUUAUACUAAAAAUAGUAUAAAGCCUUAAAAGAUAUAUUUAGAAUUAAUAGUAUAAAUAAAAUCUUAAAGGUCUUUUUAUAAGUAUAUGCUUAGAUAAACCAAUUAUGAAAAAAUGAAUAAGUAUCUAGGAUUAGACCCGAAGGCUAGUGAUAUUACCAUGGUCAGGGUUUAAAAAGCCCGAACGGGUUAUCGUUGUAAAGAUAUCCGAUGAACUGUGGUAAGUUAGUGAAAGACAAAACUGACUAGUAUAGCUGGUUUUCCGCGAAACCUAUGUAAGUAGGUAAUUUAAUUAACAUCUUAGCAGGUACAGAACUGUGAUCUCGGACAAUACAAUAUGUAUUUGUCAACAUCGGGGGGUUGUAGCGACUUUACCGGAGAGUAUUUGCACUCGGAAGGGCAAAGAUGAAUAUUAAAUAAUCGGACAUAGUGCGAUAAGGUUGUAUGUCUAAAGGGAAACAGCCCAGAACAAGAGUUAAGGUUCCAAAAUUAUUGUUAAGUGAAAUAAAGGAUGUUUUCUUUUAAAACAAUCAGGAAAUAGGCUUAGAAGCGGCCAUUUUUUGAAGACCUCGUAACAGAGCACUGAUUAAUUUGUUAGGAGAAAAUACCGAAAAUUUAACGGAUCUAAAAUAAUAUACCGAAACCUUGUACACAUAAUAUGUGGGGUAGCGGAACAUUGGAUAAAAAUCAUAUGAUUUACAUUUAUUCUAAAUGUAAAUAAAAAAUAGUGUAGAAAUAAGGUUAUAAUAGUAAAAUAUUAUGUUAUUAUUUAACGAUAAUAGUAUAGUAUUUCUAUUAUUGUAAAGACUAGGAUGUACCUAAGAGAUAGAUAAUUUCGCUUUUAGGAGAAUUUUUUUUAUAAUUAUAUAAUAAUUAUCUUAUUUUAUAAGGUCUAAAAUUAGACCACUAAUCUAUGAAAUUUCCAAGAGAGAAUGCUGACAUGAGUAACGAAAAAGGCUUUUAGCCUCGCCUGAAGCUUAUGGUUUCACCUAAAAUCGGUGUCUAAAAAGAUUAAUCAAAAGAUAAUUUUGAUGACGUUUUAAGAUUUUUUUUAUAAAAUAAUACCAAAACCUUUAACAAGUAAUAAAGGUUCUGGAAAAGUUUAUUUUAAUAUUUGAUUAAUAUAUAUUAAUUCUAUAUACCGUUAUUAUAUUAUAUUUUAAUAUUAUAUAUAAAUGUAAUAAGAUUAUAUGUUUUAAAAUAAUAUUAAAGUUUUAUAGGAUAUAGAUAUAUUAAUAAAUGUAAAUCAAAUAAGAAAAAAAAUCAAAAAAAUAACCGUACCUAGAAACUAACCCAAGUAAGCAAGUAGAGUAUACAAAGGCGUUUGAGUGAACAAUCUUUAAGGAACUCGGCAAAUUGACUCUGUACCUUCGGAAUAAGGAGGGCCAUUACUAUUAAUUUAACAUAAUUUAUUAUGUUAAUUAAAUUAAUAAUAAGAGGAAUCAUAAAAUAAUGUUGUACGACUGUUUAAUAAAAACACAGCACUCUGCAAAGAUAAAAUAUCAAAGUAUUGAGUGUGAUGUCUGCCCGAUGUCGGCUGGGUAACGGAUUUUCCUUGGUUAUUAACUGAGGUUUUGAAGGACACCCCGAUUAAUGGCGGCCUUACCUAUGAGGGUCCUAAGGUAGCGAAAUACCUUGGCCGUUAAAUGCGGUCCUGCAUGAAUGACUUAACGAUGCAACAGCUGUCUCGAUGAUUGUCUCAGUGAAAUUGGAAUAGCAGUGCAGAUACUGUUUACCUCUAGAUAGACGAGAAGACCCUAUGCAGCUUUACUGUUACUAAUUACAAGAGUGUUCAUUUAGGAUGAUUUAUAGUGUAUAAGGUAGUUGUUUAACAACAUUGAAACACCUUUAUUCGUAUCCUAUUAUUUCUCUUGAUGAUUGGAAGGCAGUUUAUGCGGGGCACAGAUCCCACAAAAAGUACCUGGGUAUAUCCAAAGUUCAUAUUGUAAAUUUGUAUAUUUAUAUACAAUUUUUUUAAUUUGUAAUAAUUAUUAUUAUAAUUAUACAGUUAUUAUUCGAUUAAAUUCAACAUUUAUUUUUAUUUUAAGUAAGAUUUUAACUAUAUGGUGAAUAGAUGUAUUUAUAACUUUAAUAUAUAAAAGUUAUUUUGUCAUAAUAUUAUGGUAUUAGUCUAUAUUAUUAUGAUAUUUAUUUAUACUUUAAAAGUUUAAUGGCUAAAUCUUGCUUUACUGUUUGACCUACGAGUCUAUCAGUCGCGUAAGCGGGGCAUAUGAUCACAAGAUGCAUUAAGGAAAGGUCUUGGAUUAUAGAAAAAGUUACGCUA
This 2911-nucleotide ribosomal RNA is filed under the name Ormyrus nitidulus. Its description in RNAcentral is "bacterial LSU rRNA". It matches the Rfam family "Bacterial large subunit ribosomal RNA", at positions 1 to 2470 of the family's 2925-position model. The record is from RNAcentral. Lineage: Eukaryota; Metazoa; Arthropoda; Insecta; Hymenoptera; Ormyridae.